This 253-nucleotide ribosomal RNA is filed under the name uncultured bacterium. Its description in RNAcentral is "partial 16S ribosomal RNA". It matches the Rfam family "Bacterial small subunit ribosomal RNA", at positions 524 to 776 of the family's 1533-position model. The record is from RNAcentral.
UACGUAGGGUGCAAGCGUUAUCCGGAAUUAUUGGGCGUAAAGAGCUCGUAGGCGGUUUGUCGCGUCUGCUGUGAAAACCCGAGGCUCAACCUCGGGCCUGUAGUGGGUACGGGCAGACUAGAGUGCGGUAGGGGAGAUUGGAAUUCCUGGUGUAGCGGUGAAAUGCGCAGAUAUCAGGAGGAACACCGGUGGCGAAGGCGGGUCUCUGGGCCGAAAUUGACGCUGAGGAGCGAAAGCGUGGGGAGCAAACAGG